GCUAUGUUAAGUGUUUACUAGACCAACAUGUGUCACUUCGUGAUUGAUUAAAUUUAAAGUAUUUUUAAAAAUUAAUUAUAAUUGAUUUUAAAAUAAAAAAUUAAUUAAAAUAAUAUAAAAUUAAAAAUAAUUAAAUAAAAAACAAAACGGAUUUUAAUUAUUAAAAACACUUUUUAAUCUUUUGUAAAAUAAAAUUUAUUAAAGAGAAAUUAAAUCUAAGAUAAGGUAGAACACAAUUUAGAUUUCUAAAAAAUCAAAAGAAAAAAGAGAGAAAGAAAAAAAAAAGAGAAAUAGAAGAACACAACUUGGGGCUGGGGUUGAGGUUGAGGUAUAAGGAGACACGAUUGGACCAGAUCUGGUUUUUUGGUGAUAGGGAUUAGAGGCAAUUGGAGCUGUGGUCGGAGACACGAUUGAGGAUCUGAAGCUUGGGAACAUAUUUGGUUUUUCGGUGACAGGGACUAGAGGCAACUGGAGCUUGGGUCUGAGACACGUCUUCUUCCUCUUGGACAUAGUUGGCCUUGGACGGUAGCCAUGAACGACGCCAAGCAGUGAAGGAAGAUGCAUGUCUUCGAUCUGCAUAGACAAGUACAAAGGGCUUCGCAAGGGUGAUGCUGGUGGCUAAGAAGUGAGGUCGAUGGGACUCAUGUGGGUGGGUUGUAGAGAUGUCGUCCUUGCCAAAGCAGAUCUAGAUUUUGGGAAUGUGUUCAUUAGGUUUUGUAUUAAUUUGGGUAUGUGUUCAUGGGUUUUGUCUUGAGUGUUCUUGAAUCUAGGUUUGAUUAAGUUGUUCUUUCUUGAAUCUGGGCAUAUAAUUUUCAAAUUAAACCAACACAAAUUGAAUUUGUUUGUAUAAUGUUCAUAUUGAAUAUGGAUUCUUGAUUAAGUUGUUCUUGAAUCUAGUUUUGGUUUUAUGGAUUUGUUAUAUAUAGAAAACUAAACCAUGGCUUGAGAUCAAAUUUUUUGUAAGGACAGCUAAAUGGUUCAGGACUUGUUUCUAUUUCUUUC
Molecule: long non-coding RNA, 1002 nt
Organism: Humulus lupulus (European hop)
Lineage: Eukaryota; Viridiplantae; Streptophyta; Magnoliopsida; Rosales; Cannabaceae
Exons: 2
Source: RefSeq, a predicted model, not a curated record